Molecule: transfer RNA, 84 nt
Filed under: Deltaproteobacteria bacterium
Lineage: Bacteria; Pseudomonadati; Myxococcota; Myxococcia
Description: tRNA-Leu
Rfam family: tRNA
About the family: Transfer RNA (tRNA) molecules are approximately 80 nucleotides in length. Their secondary structure includes four short double-helical elements and three loops (D, anti-codon, and T loops).
Source: RNAcentral
GCCCGGAUGGCGGAAUUGGUAGACGCACCAGACUCAAAAUCUGGCGGUGGCAACACCGUGCCGGUUCAAGUCCGGCUCCGGGCA